AGAGUUUGAUCAUGGCUCAGGAUUAACGCUGGCAGUGUGUCUAAUACAUGCAAGUCGACUGCGCACCGGGAUCGUUCAUCUUCGGAGCAGUACAAAAGGUGCGCAGGGCAGACGGGUGAGUAGCACGUUGGUAUCUGCCCCGAACUCAGGGAUAACCCGCCGAAAGGCGGAAUAAUACCGGAUAGUACCCGCACCUUUUCGGCCUCAAUGAGCAUUUUGUUCUUCAUCGAACGAGUGCUGUCCAUUUGAGAGCGAAAAGGUGUGGGUUAAAGAUUUAUCGGUUCGGGAGGAGCCUGCGCAAUAUCAGCUUGUUGGUGAGGUAACGGCUCACCAAGGCUCUGACGUUUAGCUGGUCUGAGAGGAUGAUCAGCCACAAUGGAACUGAGACACGGUCCAUACUCCUACGGGAGGCAGCAGUAAAGAAUCUUCCGCAAUGGGCGAAAGCCUGACGGAGCAACACUGCGUGGUGGAUGAAGGCCUUCGGGUCGUAAACACCUUUUCUGGGGGAAGAAGUUCUGACGGUACCCCAGGAAUAAGCGACGGCUAAUUACGUGCCAGCAGCCGCGGUAAUACGUAAGUCGCAAGCGUUAUCCGGAAUCAUUGGGCGUAAAGCGUCCGUAGGCGGUUUUGUCAGUCUGUGGUUAAAUCCCUUCGCUCAACGGAGGAAUCGUCACGGAAACUGCGAAACUUGAGUAGUGCAGGGGCAGAUGGAAUUCCAGAAGUAGGGGUAAAAUCCGUAGAUCUCUGGAGGAACACCAAACGCGAAGGCAGUCUGCUGGGCACUUACUGACGCUGAGGGACGAAAGCAUGGGUAGCGAACGGGAUUAGAUACCCCGGUAGUCCAUGCCGUAAACGAUGGAUACUCGGUUUUGGGGGAUUCGACCCCUUCAGAGCCUAAGCUAACGCAUUAAGUAUCCCGCCUGGGUAGUACGGCCGCAAGGUUAAAACUCAAAGGAAUAGACGGGGACCUACACAAGCGGUGGAGCAUGUGGUUUAAUUCGAUAGUAAGCGGGAAACCUUACCAGGGCUUGACAUCCUGAGAAUUCCCUAGAAAUAGGGAAGUGCCUUUUUGGAACUCAGUGACAGGUGUUGCAUGGUUGUCGUCAGCUCGUGCCUUGAGGUGUUCUGUUAAGUCAGUAAACGAGCGCGACCCUCGUCGUAUGUUGUAUUUUUCAUGCGAGACUGCCGACUCCAAGUCGGAGGAAGGUGAGGACGACGUCAAAUCAGCAUGGCCCUUAUGCCCUGGGCUACACACGUGCUACAAUGGCUGGAACAAAGGGUAGCCAAGUCGUAAGACGGAGCCAAUCCCAUCAAAUCCAGUCUCAGUUCGGAUUGAGGGCUGCAAUUCGCCCUCAUGAAGUUGGAAUCGCUAGUAAUCGUGAAUCAGCAUGUCACGGUGAAUAUGUUCCUAGGUCUUGUACUCACCGCCCGUCAAGUCAUGGAAGCUGGGGGUACCAGAAGUCCCACAAUAAAGUGGGCCCAAGGUAAAACCAGUGACUAGGACUAAGUCGUAACAAGGUA
This 1521-nucleotide ribosomal RNA is filed under the name uncultured deep-sea bacterium. RNAcentral's name for it is "bacterial SSU rRNA". It matches the Rfam family "Bacterial small subunit ribosomal RNA". The record is from RNAcentral.